GGGGUGUCGAACUUGUUUGAAGCUUCAGUAGCUGAGCCAACUUAGUUUUACCUUUUUCCUGUUACACAUUUCUAUUGUCACAUAUAUUUUGAAUAUACGCAAAAUAAUUUUAAGUUUCAUCAACUGGUAUUCACUUUUUGUGAGCAAUGGAAUCAAAAGAGAGCUGGGGGACUAUUCUGUAAUGCGAUUAGAAAAUUGUUUGUGUUCACUAUAAUGCGACUUUCGCAUACAAAUUUUCGGUUUUCGCAUUUCUUUUUUCUCCUAUCGCAUUCGGGGUACUCUGUAAUUUGAAUUAGCUGUCAAACGGAUGCGAUAUUCGCAUAUUUCUUGCUAAACUCCGCAGGCUGACGCAUAAAAAAGUGGAUAAUAAACAAGGCAAGCAAACAAACCAGAAGCGAUUCGAAAUAUUGGUGGAUUUAAUGAGAAGUCACACACAUUUAUCCAAAGGGCUUUUCGAGACGGCGGACGCUAAGACCACUUCCAUUAAUCUAUGCAAAAAUUUCGACGUAAAGGCAAAAAUGCGUCGUUAUAAGUACAGCAUUUCGGGAACUGGUGGUGGUCCCUCGAAUUACUGCUCAUUGACGGAUUUGGAACAACAAGUGUGCGAUUUUUUGUCCAUGAAUAUCAAAUACUUUAAGUUUCUGCGUUCAACAAACAGCAUCGAGUGUAUCGACUGGAUUUCAAAUUAGGCUUGUUAGUAAAAAAAGCUGUAAAUGAAAAAGAGAGAAAUGAGCUGCCUUAUUGCUCAUAUGUAAGUACUCCACGUAGGAAGCGAUUACUUUUGGAAAAACAAGUGGAUAAUCAAAUGGCAUACCAAGAAAAUUCAGCCGAAGUAUUAAAAGAAAUAAUUUACAAUUUAAAAAAUAUAUUUAAAAA
Bactrocera oleae (olive fruit fly) is the source of this 876-nucleotide long non-coding RNA. RefSeq lists it as uncharacterized. The record is from RefSeq and is a predicted model, not a curated record. Lineage: Eukaryota; Metazoa; Arthropoda; Insecta; Diptera; Tephritidae.